This 567-nucleotide ribosomal RNA is filed under the name uncultured eukaryote. Its description in RNAcentral is "SSU rRNA". It matches the Rfam family "Eukaryotic small subunit ribosomal RNA", at positions 4 to 569 of the family's 1831-position model. The record is from RNAcentral.
CUGGUUGAUCCUGCCAGUAGUCAUAUGCUUGUCUCAAAGAUUAAGCCAUGCAUGUCUAAGCACAAGCCGAUUAAUGGUGAAGCCGCGAAUGGCUCAUUACAACAGCCAUAGUUUCUUAGAUCUUACUUUUCUACUUGGAUAACUGUGGUAAUUCUAGAGCUAAUACACGCAAAAAAGCUCAGACCUUACGGAAUGAGCGCAUUUAUUAGAACAAAAACCAAUCGGGCUUCGGUCCGUCAUUUGGUGAAUCUGAAUAACUUUGCUGAUCGCACGGUCUUCGUACCGGCGACAUAUCUUUCAAAUGUCUGCCUUAUCAACUUUCGAUGGUAGUUUAUGCGCCUACCAUGGUUGUAACGGGUAACGGAGAAUAAGGGUUCGACUCCGGAGAGGGAGCCUGAGAAACGGCUACCACAUCCAAGGAAGGCAGCAGGCACGCAAAUUACCCACUCCCGGCACGGGGAGGUAGUGACGAAAAAUAACGAGGCGGCUCGCUAUGCGGUCCGUCAUCGGAAUGGGUACAAUUUAAAUCCUUUAACGAGGAUCUAUUGGAGGAAAAGUCUGGUGCCA